RNAcentral lists this ribosomal RNA (514 nucleotides) under Lasiodiplodia theobromae. RNAcentral's name for it is "eukaryotic LSU rRNA". The stretch from base 143 to 296 matches the Rfam family "5.8S ribosomal RNA". The record is from RNAcentral. Lineage: Eukaryota; Fungi; Ascomycota; Dothideomycetes; Botryosphaeriales; Botryosphaeriaceae.
GUGGCACGGAGUUAUCGAGCUCGGCUCGACUCUCCCACCCUUUGUGAACGUACCUCUGUUGCUUUGGCGGCUCCGGCCGCCAAAGGACCUUCAAACUCCAGUCAGUAAACGCAGACGUCUGAUAAACAAGUUAAUAAACUAAAACUUUCAACAACGGAUCUCUUGGUUCUGGCAUCGAUGAAGAACGCAGCGAAAUGCGAUAAGUAAUGUGAAUUGCAGAAUUCAGUGAAUCAUCGAAUCUUUGAACGCACAUUGCGCCCCUUGGUAUUCCGGGGGGCAUGCCUGUUCGAGCGUCAUUACAACCCUCAAGCUCUGCUUGGAAUUGGGCACCGUCCUCACUGCGGACGCGCCUCAAAGACCUCGGCGGUGGCUGUUCAGCCCUCAAGCGUAGUAGAAUACACCUCGCUUUGGAGCGGUUGGCGUCGCCCGCCGGACGAACCUUCUGAACUUUUCUCAAGGUUGACCUCGGAUCAGGUAGGGAUACCCGCUGAACUUAAGCAUAUCAAUAACCCUG